GUUAUAGACGCACGGAUGAGGCUAGUAGUUCAGGCAGCAACACUAAUAGUUGUGAUUCAGGCAUGCCUCAUGUUCAUGCACAGGAGAGCUAUUCAUCAUGGUGAGAUACUUGUCAUCAGUUAUGCUUCAAUGCUUAUGCAGGAGUAGGAGAGGAUCGCCAAUCUAAACUACAUCUACAACUGCAACGACACAGAGGCCUUGUGGAUGCUUCAAAUGAAAAGAGCACCAUUUGCCAGACUUUUCCAGACCUUCAGGAGCGGGCUGCUACAAGAUAGCAUCCACACCAGUGUGGAAGAGCAAGUGGCAAUGUUCCUUCAUUUUGUUGGCCAUAACCAGAGGUUCAGAGUUAUAUACAACACAUUCAGGAGAUCAAUGGAGACCAUAUCAAGGUACUUCAAGCAAGUGAUAUAUGUUGUUGCGUAGCUCAGAGGAUAGAUGAUCAAGUCACCAACCUGUCGGACUCCUACCAAGAUUUGCACUAGCCCAAAAUGGUAUCCAUACUUCAAGGUGAGCACCGACGGUAUGUGCUUCAUGGCUUGA
RNAcentral lists this ribosomal RNA (540 nucleotides) under Triticum aestivum (bread wheat). Its description in RNAcentral is "partial small subunit ribosomal RNA". The record is from RNAcentral. Lineage: Eukaryota; Viridiplantae; Streptophyta; Magnoliopsida; Poales; Poaceae.